UACGGGAGGCAGCAGUGGGGAAUAUUGGGCAAUGGGCGCAACCCUGACCCAGCAACGCCGCGUGAGGGAAGAAGGUUUUCGGAUCGUAAACCUCUGUCCUUGGUGAAGAGGAAGAGACGGUAGCCAAGGAGGAAGCCCCGGCUAACUACGUGCCAGCAGCCGCGGUAAU
This 169-nucleotide ribosomal RNA is filed under the name uncultured rumen bacterium. Its description in RNAcentral is "partial 16S ribosomal RNA". It matches the Rfam family "Bacterial small subunit ribosomal RNA", at positions 340 to 524 of the family's 1533-position model. The record is from RNAcentral.